RNAcentral lists this ribosomal RNA (253 nucleotides) under uncultured bacterium. Its description in RNAcentral is "partial 16S ribosomal RNA". It matches the Rfam family "Bacterial small subunit ribosomal RNA", at positions 524 to 776 of the family's 1533-position model. The record is from RNAcentral.
UACGGAGGGGGCUAGCGUUGUUCGGAAUUACUGGGCGGAAAGCGCGCGUAGGCUGAUCUGUAAGUUGGGGCUGAAAUCCCGAGGCUCAACCUCGGAACUGCCUUCGAUACUGCAGAUCUCGAGUCCGAGAGAGGUGAGUGGAAUUCCUAGUGUAGAGGUGAAAUUCGUAAAUAUUAGGAAGUACACCAGUGGCGAAGGCGGCUCACUGGCUCGGUACUGACGCUGAGGCGCGAAAGCGUGGGGAGCAAACAGG